This 524-nucleotide ribosomal RNA is filed under the name uncultured bacterium. Its description in RNAcentral is "bacterial SSU rRNA". It matches the Rfam family "Bacterial small subunit ribosomal RNA", at positions 984 to 1509 of the family's 1533-position model. The record is from RNAcentral.
ACAUCCAGAGAACUUAGCAGNGAUGCUUUGGUGCCUUCGGGAACUCUGAGACAGGUGCUGCAUGGCUGUCGUCAGCUCGUGUUGUGAAAUGUUGGGUUAAGUCCCGCAACGAGCGCAACCCUUAUCCUUUGUUGCCAGCGGUUCGGCCGGGAACUCAAAGGAGACUGCCGGUGAUAAACCGGAGGAAGGUGGGAUGACGUCAAGUCAUCAUGGCCCUUACGGCCAGGGCUACACACGUGCUACAAUGGCGCAUACAAAGAGAAGCGACCUCGCGAGAGCAAGCGGACCUCAUAAAGUGCGUCGUAGUCCGGAUUGGAGUCUGCAACUCGACUCCAUGAAGUCGGAAUCGCUAGUAAUCGUAGAUCAGAAUGCUACGGUGAAUACGUUCCCGGGCCUUGUACACACCGCCCGUCACACCAUGGGAGUGGGUUGCAAAAGAAGUAGGUAGCUUAACCUUCGGGAGGGCGCUUACCACUUUGUGAUUCAUGACUGGGGUGAAGUCGUAACAAGGUAGGCGUAGCGAG